UUUAAUUGAAACCAAAAUAGAGGUAUAUCACUGUUAAUGAUAUCAAUAAGAUUAAUCUUCAAUUAAAG
This 68-nucleotide transfer RNA is filed under the name Trogoderma granarium. Its description in RNAcentral is "tRNA-Asn". Lineage: Eukaryota; Metazoa; Arthropoda; Insecta; Coleoptera; Dermestidae. The record is from RNAcentral.